GACGAACGCUGGCGGCGUGCCUAAUACAUGCAAGUCGAGCGAACAGACGAGGAACUUGCUCCUCUGACGUUAGCGGCUGACGGGUGAUUAAAACGUGGAUAACCUAGCUAUAGGACUGGGAUAACUUCGAGAAACCGGAGCUAAUACCGGGUAAUAUAUUGAACCUAAUAUUUCAAUAGUGAAAUACGGUUUUGCUGUAACUACUAGAUGGAUCCGCGCCGCAUGAGCUAGUUGGUAAGGUAACGGCUUACCAAGGCAGCGAUGCGUAGCCGACAUGAUAGGGUGAUCGGCCACACUGGAACUGAGACACGGCCCAGACUCCUACGGGAGGCCGCAGUAGGGAAUCUUCCGCAAUGGGCGAAAGCCUGACGGAGCAACGCCGCGUGAGUGAUGAAGGUCUUCGGAUCGUAAAACUAUGUUAUUAGGGAAGAACAAAUGUGUAAGUAACUAUGCACGUCUUGACGGUACCUAAUCAGAAAGCCACGGCUAACUACGUG
RNAcentral lists this ribosomal RNA (497 nucleotides) under uncultured bacterium. Its description in RNAcentral is "partial 16S ribosomal RNA". It matches the Rfam family "Bacterial small subunit ribosomal RNA", at positions 28 to 507 of the family's 1533-position model. The record is from RNAcentral.